This 307-nucleotide long non-coding RNA is filed under the name Setaria viridis. Its description in RNAcentral is "long non-coding RNA (SVIR_LNC005384)". Lineage: Eukaryota; Viridiplantae; Streptophyta; Magnoliopsida; Poales; Poaceae. The record is from RNAcentral.
UGAGGUUGAGGAGGAGGAGGAGGAUGCCGAGGUUGGGACGAGGUCAGAGACGUCCGCUGGGGGUAAGGUUCAAUGUGUUCCUACUCUCUACUUCGAGCGCUCCAAGGUGACUUCGUGAGACAUUACGUCUUUUGAGGAGAGCAACUUCUUUCCUAAGGGGCUGGGCAGAGCGCCUGGGAAUGAGGCGGUUCCUACGCCCGAAGUUGGCGAAGCUGUUGUUUUUAGGGACCUGUUUAUUGCGAGGCUUCGGUUUCCCUGUGACAGGCAGUUGCCGGUUAUAUUGGAUCGCUAUCGUGUUAGGCUGCAC